Molecule: long non-coding RNA, 607 nt
Filed under: Chrysolophus pictus (golden pheasant)
Lineage: Eukaryota; Metazoa; Chordata; Aves; Galliformes; Phasianidae
Description: lncRNA (ENSCPIG00010000904.1)
Source: RNAcentral
CUGAAAGAUGUACAAAUUAAGAAAUGGAGAAUGAUGGAAGGACAGUGGUCAGUAUAUGAAUACAUUAGUGAAAUGACAUGCAUGUGUCUGGAACUUUGGUUCUCUACACCAACACCGAAAAGAUGGCUAGUUGGCACCUGCUUCUUCCUCUUUUUUUGGCGCAAUUACUACUGCACUAUUGGCUUCCUGAUGCCCGUGUUUGGCAAAUAAGCUAUUUCUCACACAAGAAGCCACUGACUUCUGCAUCUCAAAAAGGUGCUUAGCUUUUGGCUGAAGGGGCAACCAAGAAGCUCAUGUAGGAGCAACAGAAGCAUAUUGCUGAUAUUCUAAGAAAAAGGUGAUGUGGCAAGGAAUGAAGUAGGCUUGUGCCUUUCUUCUCUUCAGUGAAUUCCAGAGAAGAUUAAAACCCUUUCUAGUACAUGCUUUGCAAGAAUGCCAUAAUUUGCUUUUAUGUUUUGCUUGAUGUUCACUGAGGAAUGUGGUUUGGCAACUUCGGAAUCAUCACAGGAUCAUGGAUGUUAAAUAUGUAACAAAAGAACUUUCUUUGCAAAAGCUAAGAAAAUACAGUCUGAAUAAAAAUGAGAUUUUUGAUAUUUUUCUCUUGGUA